AUUUUAUUUAUUUAUUUU
Molecule: small RNA, 18 nt
Filed under: Arabidopsis thaliana (thale cress)
Lineage: Eukaryota; Viridiplantae; Streptophyta; Magnoliopsida; Brassicales; Brassicaceae
Description: ATSL241350
Source: RNAcentral